RNAcentral lists this ribosomal RNA (427 nucleotides) under uncultured bacterium. RNAcentral's name for it is "bacterial SSU rRNA". It matches the Rfam family "Bacterial small subunit ribosomal RNA", at positions 958 to 1398 of the family's 1533-position model. The record is from RNAcentral.
AACGCGAAGAACCUUACCAAGGCUUGACAUCCCAGGAAUCCCCAAGAAACUGGGGAGUGCCCUCGGGAACCUGGUGACAGGUGCUGCAUGGCCGUCGUCAGCUCGUGUCGUGAGAUGUUGGGUUAAGUCCCGCAACGAGCGCAACCCUUGUCGUCUGUUGGAUAUUUCAGGCGAGACUGCCCGGGCCAACCGGGAGGAAGGUGGGGAUGAAGUCAGGUCAGCAUGGCCCUUACGCCUUGGGCUACACACGUCAUACAAUGGCCGGUACAACGCGUUGCCAACCCGCGAGGGGGAGCUAAUCGCACCAAAACCGGUCCCAGUUCGGAUUGGAGGCUGCAACUCGCCUCCAUGAAGUCGGAAUCGCUAGUAACCGUGGGUCAGCAUACCGCGGUGAAUACGUUCCCGGGCCUUGUACACACCGAGUAUA